Molecule: ribosomal RNA, 301 nt
Filed under: uncultured bacterium
Lineage: Bacteria
Description: partial 16S ribosomal RNA
Rfam family: Bacterial small subunit ribosomal RNA
Source: RNAcentral
CAGUAGCCACGGGAAUACAGAGGGUGCGAGCGUUAAUCGGAUUUACUGGGCGUAAAGUGUGCGUAGGCGGCUAAUUGAGUCGGAUGUGAAAUCCCCGAGCUUAACUUGGGAAUUGCAUUCGAUACUGGUUAGCUAGAGUGUGGGAGAGGAUGGUAGAAUUCCAGGUGUAGCGGUGAAAUGCGUAGAGAUCUGGAGGAAUACCGAUGGCGAAGGCAGCCAUCUGGCCUAACACUGACGCUGAGGUACGAAAGCAUGGGGAGCAAACAGGAUUAGAGACCCCUGUAGUCCCUGUCUCUUAUAC